UUUUCUGUGAUCAGCAACAAAACCCUUGGCAGACUCCUGGUGACCAGCAGCCACCUCAUGGCGACUCCUCACCCCUCCCCCCUCCCUUCAGCGAGGCGGCCAGGGGCUGAGGUGACAGGCACGUGGGGCUGUCCUCAACAGAGGAUAAAAGGGAGGCAAAAACCUGCAAUUUUCACUCAUUUCACUCUGGAACUGACCUGCAGAAAUAAAAUCAACCCUCAGCAAUGUCUCAGGAUGUCCCUCAGACCAGGUAUGUGGCAGGGGCUGUCCCCAACCCCCUCUGCGGCACCCUCAGUGCGGCUCCGUGGCUGAGGGGGUGGACGUGCCCCAGGCCACCCUGUGCCACCAGGCCAUGCCGUGAGCUGACACCGUGCCAUGAGGUGAUGCUGUGAGGUGACACAGUGCCGUGAGGUGAUGCCAUGAGGUGACGCCAUGAGGUGACACAGUGCCGUCAGGUGAUGCCAUGAGGUAACACAAUGCCGUGAGCUGAUGCCAUGAGGUGACACAAUGCCGUGAGGUGACGCCAUGCUCUGAGGUGCUGCUGCAAAAAUUUUCAUCUUGCAUGAGCCAGCAAGAGACGCUCUUUCACCAUUUUGGCGCCCAAACUGUUUACUGUUUAAAACCUGCAGCCAGGUUGUCCCUUCCAAAUAUUUGCAUAUGUAUCAAACCCCGUCAGACUUGGAGGCAGCAGAGGGGUGAACAAUGGCCCCUGCCUAUUUAGGGUCAACCAUUUUGGGGCUCAGGAGCUGCAGGCUGUGUCCCCAAGGUUGGACAUCUUGUUCCUCACACAAGGACAGCCAGAGCCAGGUGCCAUGGCAGGAGCUGAGAUCUGUCAACACCACAGGGAAAGAGCAGCUGCCAAGGGGUGAGCAGAAGGCAAAGGUAAAGGGAAACCUUCAGCUACAAGGCAGUCCAGGUGUGUUUCAGCUGAGAUGAAGGGAAUAUCUGCAGUGAAUGGUGCUAACUGGUGUUGCUUAGAACAAAGUAAGAGCUUUUAAUUUAUAAAUUACCUGUGUAUCUAGUUGGGGCUUACCUACUGGAGGUCUGAUAUCCUGUGAUGCUGUGUGUAAAAAAGUCUGAAAUUCAAUAGCAAGUAUCUAUGCCACCAUGUCAAGUGGGCAUGCUAUCAAAGUCAUGUCCUGUUAUCCCCGGUGCGUUCUGUGCCCCAGUAACACUGCUCCUGCUGCGAGACACAGCCCUGCCCUGGGGGAGGCCAUUAGUGAGGAGCUGCCCAGGAAGCCUCCUCAGUGAAUGGUGCCCCAGCAGGGUGGCCCCACUGCCCCCCCUGGGUCCUGCGGCCCAGUGCACGUUUUGAGGUUCCCAAACCCUGCCAGGUCCUUGCCCCCAUGGCCUCCCGCUGCCAUCGCACGCCUUCCUGAUGGCUGGGCUCCACCAGCUCAAUGCCUCUGAGCAGAGCAUUCCCCUCUUACCAAGUCUUUCCAUGGCGGUGUUUGUGUUUGCAAGCUCCCCAAAACACAGCCGGGUGAAGAAAGCUCCCCCCCCACCUCCAGUGUCUGUGGAGCUCUCAAAUGAGGAAUAAAGCCAUUUGUUUCUAAUUAUAUUUGGCAGCCACUCAGAGAAUUUAGGACUAAAGCAUGCGAAUUUUUUGCUUCUGAUUAAAGCACUUGACCUCGUAAGCAAAAGGCAAAGAUUUCAACACACACCCACAAGUAGGCUAGGAACAAACUGCAGAGAAAAGACAAAAAAAAAUGCUUUGCUUAGAUACACGAAAUAAUUCAUUAUGAAACAAAAGGCAGAAUAUUUAGUGCAUAGCUUGAGCUUGCCUAGGGCUCAUCUAACCACCCAAUUACUGCUUUUAAAGCUGAGAGCAUUUACUCUGAUCUAACACAAACACAACGAGGACCCACAUGCCCAUUGAGUCUGCAGCACACACGUGACUGAGACCCAGUCACUGCCUGCAGGAAGAAAGCAGCUUUCAUGGGGCGAUGUGGGCUCCUGCAGCCCCAGCUCCAAGCCGGUGGGAGAGCUGGGAUGGGACCCAGUGGCAGAGGGUACAGGAGCUGCCUUUAUUGUUAUAUAUUUCCCCAGUUUCUUGGCUGAAAUAGUUCAUGCCCAUCUGAACAUGGGAGAAAAAAAUGGUGGGGUGUUUUUAGCUUUUUUUUUUUUAGUUGCAUGGCUGUUUUGCAAUUAUUUGGGCCUCCUGAGCUCAGGCACUCAUGAAAAGAGUCAGAUUUCCCCCAGGCCCUCCCUGAAACCCUGUGUUUUGCUGUCCCCUGUCCAGCAUCACAACACUAAGGCACAGGGCUGCUCAUCCCAGUGGGUGAAGGCUUCGUCCUUUCCCUGCUGCCUGCUGUGGUCCUGCUGCGGCCCUGCUGCGGCCCUGCUGCCAGGUGCCAUGCCGCCAGCUCCACUUUCAGCUCCCAUAUUUACUAUUUGCCCACUUUACUAGCAGCACAAGGAUGUGUUGCAACUGCAGAAUAGUCAGCUGGCACCCAACCAAGAGAAAUAGCGAUGAUCUUGAUGGCACUUUUUAAAAUAGCAGAGAAACCAGCUCAAACAGAAAUUAACUACCCUGCAAGGUUCUGUGGUCCAUAAAAUUCUUCCCCAGGCUCCAUGGUUUUAAAAUAACAUGAAAGAAAUACUUUCCAUAAAAAGUAGUUAACUAGCAUACAGUUUUUUUUUUUAAAGUCGUAAUUCUGAGAGUCAUACCCAAACAAAAUAGUUAUACAGGCAUUAAAUUAUACAUUAAAGAAGGCCGAUAAAGACAGUGAAUUACAGAGUUACCGUAUUAGAUUUCAGAUAUACAGAUAGCAAGCGUUAUUAACAUUUUUAUUGAAGGUGACCUACAAAAGAGGUACAAAAAAUCUGUGCCACUUCUGAUUUCUUGUAAUGCGGGAAAACAUGAAUCUGAAACAGCUCCAGCCCAAUUGCCAGCCAGUCCCAGUCAGGUCUCCUUACCCUCCCCAUCCUCUCCCCCAGAAAAUUAACAAAGGAGAGGCAGAGGAUGCUUUCUGCUGGGUCUGCAAAUCCAUUGUCUUGGCUGGGAAACUCCUUUGAAGAACAUAAAGUAGAUGUUUUUCUCAGUGCUCACCUGGAACAGUGAGACAGUGAGGUUUUGGUGGGGAAAGGCUUUUCUCCGUGCUUGUGGAGUUGUGAACAAGCAGGGCAGAUUGCAGCAUGGCUAUGUGGUCACUUUCCGAUGGGCUGCCUUCUCCUGGUGGGUUUUGUGCUGCCACUUCAGAAGGGGCAAGCUCCUCACCACCAGCCUGAGCUGAGCUGUGGGGACAUCCUCCGUGGGCUCGCUGGUGCCUGUAAGGGCUGCUCUUGCACUUCACCUUUCCCCACAGUGGCUACAAGCUGUCUCCCCUCUCUGCAGCCUGGCCAUUUCCUAAUGCCCAAAUGGGAACAUGUUUACCUCUGAGCAGCUGCUCCUCCACCCCUGGGGCUGGGAUUGUUUACCAGGGUAUUUUGGUAUUGCUAGUUUUAAAAUUUCUUUGGAAGAAACUGAUGGACAAAUCGAAAUGCUCAGGCACACACAGAAACACACCAUGACUGCAUAAGCAGCAUUUCCUGAGGAAACCAAGCUUAGAAAAUUCGUAUGGCCAAGUGCUGCAGCGUAUUUGCUUUGUCCUGCAGCUGCUGGGCUUUGCUGCCAGGGCGCUGCCACCCUCCCAGCCACGUCCCCCAGCUGCCUGUGGCAUUUGAGGAACUGUAGCUAGAUGAGAGCUGAAUUUCUGAUGGAGAAAGAAAUCAAUAGGGAGUGAAAAAUAUUGAUUUAUAUACAGCACUAACAUAUAGAGCGAGUGUACGUGUGCUCAGUGCCACUGCCGCAUGUGUAGAAGGGGUCCUACACCUUGGCUCGUGCCAGAUGGAUGACGGGAAAAAUCAUUUUCUAAAUGUCUCAUAAGUAAGAAAGUGAGAGCAAUACAAAAUAAUGCAGAAAAGAGAAUAUCUGUUAACCUCUCAGAUACUGAGAACACAGCAUCUUCCAUGAGAGAAAUGAGGUAAGAGGGCCCAUUGCGGUUCUGCAAGCAUGGCUUUCCACAAGGAGCUGGUGAUGUUUUCUCAUGGUGACUGCGAUUCAGAAAUGAAGAAUUCGACUCUAUUCUUCCUGACUGAGUACAGUUAUAGUGGGGCUAGGGUUGGGGAAAAAGCCAUUGGUGAUGUAGGCUGGGGAGUGAGAAGCUGAGGACAGGGGCAGGCAGCAGCAGCAGCGCACAGCUCAGGCUGCUGCAGGGCUGUGGGACAGAGUGGGGACACGCCAGGGCUGCAGGCACAGCCGUGAGCAGGAUCAGUCCUUCCCGUCUGCUGCUACAAACCGAGCACCUCUGUCCCACCAGAGGGAGAGGUGGUGGCUUUAUUCCAGUUUCUUCAUGCAGUGCUGAGUAGUUGGACUUGAGGUUAUUAAUACGCAGGGACUCCAGGCCUCCAGGUGCAGUCUGUCAUUCUGUACCGCCAGUAUCUGCUUGGUGGUGAGCAGCACAUCACACAUAUCGUAAUCAUUACUGUUUGCUUUCAUCAGAAUUUCCCAAAUUCCAUCAUUCCCAUAUUGUCAUCAUAAUCUCCCAAAUACUUCUAAUACCUAGAUGGGCUCCUACAAGGAUGGGCUCAACUAUGGCUCAUUAAGGGUACUUUCCUCUUCCUCAGGUUGUUCUAAAAGGUUGUUUUUACAUCAUGUGUGAAGGCUGCUGUCUAUAGGCAGUCAGACAGCUCACAGUCUGCAGCAGGCAGCGUCCAUGUUGAAGAUUUCAGCUGUGUCCCUGUGCCUUACAAAGGCUGGCCAUGGCUGCUUCCUGAGCUUUUGUCUCAGCUGUAGACUGGAGACAAUCAUUUUCAUAAGGAAAUGUCGAGUAUCACCAUUCCUAGGAGCCCACUUAGGCCUGUAUACUGUGCUUGUGUGUUGUUCUUUUAUCUUGCAGCAUUUACUACUCAAAACGGAGCUUAAAAGAGAUUUUAAAAAAAAAAACAACUCUAUUGGGUUUUGAGUCAAGUAAGGUACCUGCAGAGGGACAAACCUCUGUCUGGGUGUAGUUCUGAUGAAUGCAAAUGCAACAUGUGCCUGAAGCAGCCGUGGGUUGAGGUAACCUGUGCGGAAAGUGAAACCUGAAGGUAAAAACUUUGUGUUCUCUCAAACACUUUGUCUCUUGAUACUUGCAAGAAGUAUCACCCAUCAGCAGAAACCGGAAUGUGUUGCUGAAUCACGCUGGGGCUGAGCCUCCACCUGCUUUUUCAUUACGAACUUCCUGUCUCAGGACUUUAUCUCACAGUAAAGUUCUGUUCCCUGCUGAAGAAUAAGAGAGGGGUGUCUGGAAAAAAGUGCUGCACUUUGCUUUUUUCCUUUAUGGUAGGUUUUGAAUCAGGCAAAGCAGAUCGUUCAUUCAGCUACAGUUCUGUCUGAUAUGAAAGCAAGGGAUGGAGAUGGUGGAUUACAUUUUUCCCACCUGCAGCUAUAUUGCAACCCAACCAAAUAUUAACCAAUAACUGACAUAAAAUAAAUUUGAAAUAAAUAAAACCUGACAAUAAACCACCAAAUUAUGAGUCUACCUCAAUGAGAUCAGCCAAAUCCAUGCCAGUGUGGACAGGCUUCAGAGCCGAACCAGACCUCUUACAAGGCUGCUAUUGAUGCUACUCCUUUCCAAGCUUGUACAAAACAGCUAUAAAAAGCAAAAGAGAAGGAUCUGAACUGCAGCGGUAAAGAAACUGGCCCUGAAGCAGGGGAAGGCAGGGACACUAAGUCAAAAAGACUUAUGUAUGCCAAUGGGUAGGGCAUUUUUUUUCCAGUAAUGUAAAGUGUGGCAUGAAAUGCAUCCAGGUUUCAGCCCUCUGCGUACCGCCAGCGCGUGCAGAGGCAGACACCGACUCCCCUGCUUUCUGUUGUGCUUUUCGCUGGCUUCCUUUGAAUGUGUGUUUGUUUGUUUAUCCCACCCCGCUUGUAACAGAGGCAGGGUAGCUCUGCUCAGGAGGAGCAUCUGUUCCUCAUUGAGAGCCAGCAUUAAGCUACUUUUACAACAGGAUUGAUGGAGGCAGAAGGAGGUCAAAUGAUUUAUCCAAGUUCAGGCGGAGGUCCACUAAAUGGCUCGCCUUAUAGCACCUAUUGAUUAUCCAUCCUGCUUGCUUCAGGGUGCUUUUGCAGGAAAUGUGUGAAUCAAAAGACUGAAAUUGGCAAGACAGAGACCAGCGGUUCCCAACACUGUCCAGCUGUAGCUUUUCGGAUGGGCCCCUCUAAGGCUGUGUAAUAAACAUCCCGAGGAGGGCAGCAGGAGGUGCAAGCUAUUAGAAUUAGGCUGGAUCUCCAUAUGGAACAGAUGCAAUGGAAUUACAGCUGCGCACUGAAUACUUCAAAUAAAGAAACAAGGUGACUUGGAGCCUCUCCAACUCCCCUGUGCCAGCUGGAGAAGCCGCGUUCCUGCUCUGCCCUCCUGCUACCAAGGCUUGUACUGUGCCAGGGCUAUGCUGGCCCUGCUCUUCCAAGCCCCUCCUCAGUCUGAAGUAGCUGGCUUUGGAUACAUUAUUGAUUUUUAUUGCCUCUUAUUCUUUCCCAAAACAACGUGUUUUUUAAUUACACAGUAUUGCUGUAUGCUCUGUUGCUUUGCUGCCUCAUUGCACAGUGACUCAGACGAGCUGAUAGAGCUGUGUGUGAGCUCUAGAGGAACAUAGCAAGACCAGCAGCUUCCCCAAAGUUACUAGCAAUCUGAGUGGGCACAGCAAGAUGCUGGUAGUCUCUGGAUGCUGAGAAAGACAGGGGAAACCAAGAGUACAGACAGCAAGGUCAAAGUAAUAAAUUGUGGUGAAAUACUUCAACAAUGGAAAAUAACUUGGCCUGGCUCCACCGGCAGUGACGAUUUCUUAGUAACGUCCAUGAAUUCCUCACACAGACACACACUUGUGAAGUUUAUGGCCAAUAGCAACAGGAACUAUCUACUGCUUUUGUAGCUAAAGAGUCUCUUCCACCGUUCUUUUUUUAACGGAUCAGUGGCCGAUUUUUCUGUCCACCAAGAAUACGUGCUCUCCAAUCUUUCCUGUUCUGACGGCUUCCUUUUUCUCUCAGGAAGCCCUCUCUGUGUAGUAGGGUUGGCAGGGCAAGGCUGCCCCAAGACCUUGACAUCCUUCUGAGCUCAGUGCCACCAGAGGACCAUCAUCCCCCUAGCACAACAGAGCCAUGACAACCCUUUUCUUCAGCAGCAUCUCAUUGUGGCAGUACGCUGCCCUCCGGUACAGCCAGCACCAUCUGUAGGUGCUUCCACAGCUCUGAACCAGCUGCAUGAACCAGAGAAGCUCCUGUCUGGGCUGAUUAGAGCUCCCAAAAGCAGGCUGUACUUGUCAAAGCAGAGCACCAUACAGAGCAGAGCACCCAAUGCUGUGGUGUCCAUGCCCAUCGCCAUGUCCCAGGCCAUUUGGAGCCCAGCGGGGACCUCUUAGGAGCACCCUGCUGCAGCAUGUCUAUCAGGGCCCUCAGGUCGGCCAGUGCAGAGCAUGCAGCCAGCAAAUGAGCAAGCCCCUGGCCGGGUGAGCAUCCCUUCACCAACAUGGUUGUCCUGGUCAGGUGAGCAGCCUAUGGGGUUUGCCACUGGCAGCUUCUAGGUGGUCACAAGAAUCGGCCUGUUUGCAAAGGGUGAGACAUUUCUGUGCUCGGGUAACAGCUCUGCCCAUCUCUACCUGUUAUCUACACUUCUACCUGUUAUCCUGAAACACACCAUGUAGGAGAGCUCUCUGACCAAAAGUACAAAGAUAACCAUGUAAGAGCUGUGCUGUGAACAUGACUUCUCCCAGCUCGCACUACCAAACUAGCCAACUGCUAACACCCGCAGUGGCACAGAGAGUUUGGUGGAGAAGGCCAAGCACAAGGGGUCAGGGCAAAGUUGAGCUGCUAGACACCAGCAGAGGUUGGUCUCAGAGCACGCCUGUAAAAAGCCUGUGCUUGUCUGUUGAACUCAGAUGGCGUUUUUGUUCUUCAAGCUCAAACAGCUGCUCCUGCUGCCAUGGGGGUGCAGGGGUGUCAUUCAAGGCCAGAGUUUUGGAUGGAGACUGUUCACUGCAAAUGUCUCACAGCUGACCUGGGCACUUGUCCUCCACUGGACUCUCUCCAGAAAAAAAGAUGUGUUAAAGCAGAUGUACUCCAACAAGUUUUAAUUUCAAGCAGACUGAGGGCACCUUUAAUGCAGCUUGGCUUGUGCUUACUACUGUGGGAGCAUGGGAAGACUGAGUGUUGGCACAGCAUUUCACUGACCAACAGCAUCAACGCUGUGAAGAGAACAGGAGGAAAGCAACAGCCUGACAAAGCUCUUCUGGGCUACAGCGAACAUUGCUGAAAGUGAUCUAGUCGGCUCUCCCAGGGAAACUUUGAUUUAUCCAGCUUGAGUGUGGUAAGAAAAGAGAAUUUGUACUCAGCCAUGGAGUUGGUUGUGCCUUCAUUUCACUCCCUGUGUAUCUAGCUAUCUGCACUUAAGCAGAUAUAAAGUCUGACCAGAGCAGGCUUCAUUGGCUUGGCUUCUUUGCAAAUGAGAGGCAGCUAUGUGCAUGGAGGAGACCUCACUUCCCUGGCAUACGUUUCUAUGGCUCACUUGUUGUGCAGCUGGAAAAAAAAAAAAAAAAAAAAAAAAAAAAAAACAGCUAACUUACCUGUGUGGUGAGCAUCUUUCCUCUCAUUUCCACCACUGGCAGCAGGUCCAAAGGGUCUCUUCAUGCAGAAUUGUGAAAAAAACAGAUAUGCUUGUGGUGCCUUACCGCGCGCUCCAGCUCUGCUCGGUGGUCCCACGCUUCUGGGCCUGGGGCUGCUUGUCCUGGCAAACAGGCCUCCUGCACCGAGCAUCCGGCACGCAGGCGGUGUCAGAGAAUGCACGAACACGGCUGCUUUCAUUAGCAGGCAUGCAGCAUGCUGAAAUUUGUGUAGUCCUGGGUUGAAUGAAUGUGAGGAAUUCAUAGAAAUCCUCAUAAAUCUUCAUCGUUUCACUUUCACUGAGGUUUGUUAUUAUCCCUCUUUUAAUUUUGUUUGCUUUUUUUUUUCAUUAACCAUGGUCUUGUUUAGAAGUUUCCUCUCUCCAGUGAGGGAGAAUUAAAACGCUCUGUUUGGCAGAGCUGGUGAACCGCACCAGCUGCAUACUAACCAGCACGAGUGGGGCUUGCAAGCAGCGUGCAGGCACAGACGUGACCUAGGCCUUUGCUUCAGCAAGUGGCCUUCAAGGAAAACCCUGGCACACAUCCUCGUGAACAAUGCAGCUACCUGGAGGAGUGACCUGGUGCUAAUCUUGGUUGCGCUGGCUUUGGGGAUCUUAUUGCAAGCCUUGUGAUAUUUGGCCACCUGCCUCAUCUAACACCAGCUGCUGGAGUCCUGCAGUUAGUAUUUUUAUAUAUGUGAUCAGAUGAUGAUAUGAUUUUAUGCAUUUAUGCAUGUUUAUGCACAUGAUUAUGUGAUGAUUUGGCUAAUCUGCACACUUUUAAAAGGAUCAGUACCUUGAAACACUCCCUGAGGUAACCAGUGUCCUUAGAUACCACAGGGAGUCACCGAGGUGGGGCUGAGAGGAAUGAGGAACUCAAGGCUCUGUGAAGGGUAGCUGAGCAUCAGGGACCUGAGGAAACGAGUCUAAUGGUGGCUAACAUGCCCACCGUUGGCAUCUUCCCUCCCCUGAGGUAAAGGUGGGCCACAAGCUGUGAUAUGAGGCCACCAAAACGCCCAUGUCCUUGGGAAGGUGGCUGCGUCUCAUCCUGGCAGCUCUCGGGGAGGUGAGCUCUUGCUGAGCUCAUGACAGCUUUGCCUCCCCCGGCCUCCAAAAAGCAAACAAAAAAAGAGGAGGUUUUGGUCUACCAGCAGCAAUGAUCCCCACAGCCUCUGACUGUGCGUGUGUGUUUCUGGGGAGGUGGCCUUGGCAUCUCCCUUGCCCAGCGUUAUGUGCCUUGGUACCCAUUUUCUACUAGU
Long non-coding RNA from Cygnus olor (mute swan), 9874 nucleotides. RefSeq lists it as uncharacterized. NCBI's taxonomy places the organism in Eukaryota, Metazoa, Chordata, Aves, Anseriformes, Anatidae. The record is from RefSeq and is a predicted model, not a curated record. The transcript is spliced from 3 exons.